RNAcentral lists this ribosomal RNA (581 nucleotides) under Aureobasidium pullulans. Its description in RNAcentral is "eukaryotic LSU rRNA". It matches the Rfam family "Eukaryotic large subunit ribosomal RNA", at positions 38 to 634 of the family's 3401-position model. The record is from RNAcentral. Lineage: Eukaryota; Fungi; Ascomycota; Dothideomycetes; Dothideales; Saccotheciaceae.
GCAUAUCAAUAAGCGGAGGAAAAGAAACCAACAGGGAUUGCCCUAGUAACGGCGAGUGAAGCGGCAACAGCUCAAAUUUGAAAGCUAGCCUUCGGGUUCGCAUUGUAAUUUGUAGAGGAUGAUUUGGGGAAGCCGCCUGUCUAAGUUCCUUGGAACAGGACGUCAUAGAGGGUGAGAAUCCCGUAUGUGACAGGAAAUGGCACCCUAUGUAAAUCUCCUUCGACGAGUCGAGUUGUUUGGGAAUGCAGCUCUAAAUGGGAGGUAAAUUUCUUCUAAAGCUAAAUAUUGGCGAGAGACCGAUAGCGCACAAGUAGAGUGAUCGAAAGAUGAAAAGCACUUUGGAAAGAGAGUUAAAAAGCACGUGAAAUUGUUGAAAGGGAAGCGCUUGCAAUCAGACUUGUUUAAACUGUUCGGCCGGUCUUCUGACCGGUUUACUCAGUUUGGACAGGCCAGCAUCAGUUUCGGCGGCCGGAUAAAGGCUCUGGGAAUGUGGCCUCCACUUCGGUGGAGGUGUUAUAGCCCAGGGUGUAAUACGGCCAGCCGGGACUGAGGUCCGCGCUUCGGCUAGGAUGCUGGCGUAA